CGAGCAAGCGAGACGAUCGCGCGACGCCAAAAGCGCCGUGAGGAAAGUCCGGGCUCCGCAGGGCAAGGGCGCCGGAUAACGUCCGGCGAGGGCGACCUUAGGGAAAGUGCAACAGAAACACACCGCCGAUGGCCGCGUCCUGUUUCUUCGCCUGACCAGGCGCGCGAGUGAAUGAGUAAGGGAGUGUACCAAGGCGUGCAUGACCGACGAAUGAACGAGCGGCGACGACGUCAGACGGCGGAACAGGGCGCGGCACAGGUAAGGUUGAAAUGGUGCGGUAAGAGCGCACCGGCGUCAUGGAGACAUGGCGGCCGUGUAAACCCCGCCCGGAGCAAGGCAGAAGGGUAUACCCGCCGCAAGGCGGGGCUGCGGCCCGCAG
Molecule: RNase P RNA, 379 nt
Filed under: Eubacteriales Family XIII. Incertae Sedis bacterium
Lineage: Bacteria; Bacillati; Bacillota; Clostridia; Peptostreptococcales; Anaerovoracaceae
Description: partial RNase P RNA component class A
Rfam family: Bacterial RNase P class A
About the family: Ribonuclease P (RNase P) is a ubiquitous endoribonuclease, found in archaea, bacteria and eukarya as well as chloroplasts and mitochondria. Its best characterised activity is the generation of mature 5'-ends of tRNAs by cleaving the 5'-leader elements of precursor-tRNAs. Cellular RNase Ps are ribonucleoproteins.
Source: RNAcentral